UUACAUGGAAGAGACAACUUAGAGCUAUUGUAACUUUGUCACUAAUAAUAUCGUUUUUGGGGAUAUCAUACUGUAUACUAUAUUCAAUAUUACUUUACUCUGACUCUAGGGUGAACUUUGUAUCGUAUUGAUAAACUAUUAUUGACUUUAUUUGAGUAGAUAUCGGAAUGGAGGUCAUUUUGGAGCCUGGACAGGUAUAAGAUGUUCAAAUUGACACCAGCUUCGGAAAGUACAAAACGCGAUCUUUCAUUUUGAUACUGCAAAUUUACUCGUAAGACGCAACUUUACCUUACUGCAAUUUUGUCAACAAUAGCAGGAUUCCCAGAAACAUUUUGGAUGGACUCAAAGUAAUUACGAAUUAGCUGCCAAAAAAUAUAAUGCUACAGUAUUAAUCUUAUUUUUGCGUAUAUCGGUGUGGAGCAUAUUUUGAGUCCUAGAUAUCGUAUAGAGAGAGAGAUAUCACCAUGAUUAUUUAGUAAGCAGUUCCCGAUGAUGGCCCCGCCUCUUUACAACUGAUACCAAAACGAAUACUUGCUGGGGAAAGUACUAAUUGAGAGUUGAUAUCUCACAUACACUAUAUGGAUUUAUUAAA
This 592-nucleotide long non-coding RNA is filed under the name Hermetia illucens (black soldier fly). Its description in RNAcentral is "uncharacterized LOC119661607, transcript variant X1". The record is from RNAcentral. Lineage: Eukaryota; Metazoa; Arthropoda; Insecta; Diptera; Stratiomyidae.